Molecule: ribosomal RNA, 611 nt
Filed under: uncultured bacterium
Lineage: Bacteria
Description: bacterial SSU rRNA
Rfam family: Bacterial small subunit ribosomal RNA
Source: RNAcentral
UCUACGGGAGGCAGCAGUGAGGAAUAUUGGACAAUGGGCGCAAGCCUGAUCCAGCCAUGCCGCGUGCAGGAAGACGGUCCUAUGGAUUGUAAACUGCUUUUAUACAGGAAGAAACACCUCUACGUGUAGAGACUUGACGGUACUGUAUGAAUAAGCAUCGGCUAACUCCGUGCCAGCAGCCGCGGUAAUACGGAGGAUGCAAGCGUUAUCCGGAAUCAUUGGGUUUAAAGGGUCCGUAGGCGGUUUAAUAAGUCAGUGGUGAAAGCCCAUCGCUCAACGAUGGAACGGCCAUUGAUACUGUUAAACUUGAAUUAUUAGGAAGUAACUAGAAUAUGUAGUGUAGCGGUGAAAUGCUUAGAGAUUACAUGGAAUACCAAUUGCGAAGGCAGGUUACUACUAAUAUAUUGACGCUGAUGGACGAAAGCGUGGGGAGCGAACAGGAUUAGAUACCCUGGUAGUCCACGCCGUAAACGAUGGAUACUAGCUGUUCGGAGCAAUCUGAGUGGCUAAGCGAAAGUGAUAAGUAUCCCACCUGGGGAGUACGUUCGCAAGAAUGAAACUCAAAGGAAUUGACGGCUGAGACGAGCGACGGACGACGACGAGGGAGGAGG